Molecule: ribosomal RNA, 253 nt
Filed under: uncultured bacterium
Lineage: Bacteria
Description: partial 16S ribosomal RNA
Rfam family: Bacterial small subunit ribosomal RNA
Source: RNAcentral
UACGUAGGGUGCGAGCGUUAAUCGGAAUUACUGGGCGUAAAGCGUGCGCAGGCGGUUUGUUAAGUCUGAUGUGAAAGCCCCGGGCUCAACCUGGGAACUGCAUUGGAAACUGGCAAUCUAGAGUGUGUCAGAGGGGGGUAGAAUUCCACGUGUAGCAGUGAAAUGCGUAGAGAUGUGGAGGAAUACCGAUGGCGAAGGCAGCCCCCUGGGAUAACACUGACGCUCAUGUACGAAAGCGUGGGUAGCAAACAGG